GAUGGUAUAAUUCAAUAGGUAGAAUGCUGGAUUCAUACUCCAUUUGUUAUAGGUUCAAGUCCUAUUACCAUCA
This 73-nucleotide transfer RNA is filed under the name Ochromonas danica. Its description in RNAcentral is "tRNA-Met". It matches the Rfam family "tRNA". From Rfam's summary of the family: Transfer RNA (tRNA) molecules are approximately 80 nucleotides in length. Their secondary structure includes four short double-helical elements and three loops (D, anti-codon, and T loops). Lineage: Eukaryota; Chrysophyceae; Chromulinales; Chromulinaceae. The record is from RNAcentral.